RNAcentral lists this long non-coding RNA (7297 nucleotides) under Sus scrofa (pig). RNAcentral's name for it is "lncRNA (ENSSSCG00000055366.1)". The record is from RNAcentral. Lineage: Eukaryota; Metazoa; Chordata; Mammalia; Artiodactyla; Suidae.
AAGAUAUUUAAAAAAAAAUUUUUUUUUACUAAAUUGAAAGCUUAUGUGUGAAGUAAAAUCUAACUCAGAAGUCUAAGUCUUACAUGAAGAACUGUAUCAGCAUUUCAGUUAUAUUCAUAUCAGCAAAUGCUAACAAACUGAGAGGGAACAGCAGAAUCAAGAGCCAUUGGACCUACCACCAGCUCUAUUGAGUCCAGCUCAAAAAUUCAUCUCCAGUCUGUUCAUUUCUUUCUCUUUUUCUUUCUUUUUUUUUUUUUUCCCCUUGCUUUUUAGGGCUGCACCCAAGGCAUAGGGAAGUUCCCAGACUAGAGUUCGAAUCAGAGCUACAGCUGCCAGCUUAACCACAGGCACAGCAACUCGGGAUCUAAGCCAUGUCUGUAACCUACACCAUAGCUCACAGUAAUGCUGGAUCCUUAACCCACUGAGUGAGGCCAGGGACCAAACCUGCAUCCUCAGGAUCCUAGUUGGGUUCUUAAACCACUGAGCUAUGAAGGGAACCCCUAUUUUUUUUCCCGGUGUGUUCAUGUUUCUUACCUCCACUUGUCACCACCCUUGUCCAUGGCAAAAAUCAUCUCUCCCAUCUGUAUUUCUGUAAUGGGCUAUUAACUUUCUCCUUCUUCUCUUGGCUGCCUCAAACCCCUUCUCCCUGCAGCCAUCAGAUCAAGUUACUUCCUUCUCUGUUACUGUGGCUUUCCAUUCUAUUUCACAUAAAACCUGUUGUUCUUACCCUGGCUUUCAAGGCCCUGCAUGAUCAGGUUCCUUCUUCCUUCUCCAACCCCAUUUCACAAAACUCCCCUUUGCUUAAUCUGCUCUGUAGCCCUUCCUUGGGCCUCUCUCAGUGUUUUGACCUCUACAUAAAUAAUAUCCUCUGCCUCUUUCUCUAUGUUCUUGGCAGAGUUGCUCCUUUUACUUCAAGUCUCAGUUUGAAUAGUGCCUCUUCUUAAAUGCCUUUCUUGAUUACCCUAAUGUAAGUCUGUUUUCCCUCUACAUUAUUCUCUGUCACAGUACAGUGUGUUGUUUCUUUAUAGUUUGUAUCAUAAUGUUUUUUGUUUAUUUAUUUUCUGUUUCCCUCACAAGGCCCAUGAAGGCAAAGACCAGUCUGUUUUAUUGAACACUGACAGUGACUAAUAAUGUCUGGCACAUAGUAGGUGCCUAAUAAAUUUUUUUUAAUUAAUGAAGAGUAGUCUAUAAAUUUGUCAACUGAUAAGUACACAGAGUCCACAAUGGUGAGCAUAUAUGCUAAUAAAACAUGCCUGUGAGUUUAGGAAUAAUUUGAGUAAAUCAUAGAUGCUCUGUCCAUAUGAAUUUUGAAAUGAGAGGUCUGCAGAGUUCAUAACUAGGUAUUCACUAUGAAUCAUACUACAUUUAUUUCAAUCUCCAAACAUGACUUUGUCAGAAUCUGAGUAGGGAGUUGGAGAUACUUGGCUUGAUUCAAUCAGGUGUUUCUUAGGAAGAGAAUAGAGGGAGUGAGAAUAGGAUGUGGAAUAGGGAAUUAUUAAUUCUGAUAGCUUAUUUAUCCUCAAACAUAAUCAGAAGAUUAUACCUGUUAUUUAUGUUUUCUUUGGAAUUCAGAGAGUUUAGCAUAUUUGUUACAUUCAGCGGUGGGUCAAUAAGCAAGAGAAUAAUUACAUUUACCUUAGAAAGUUGGAAAUGAGAAUCGUAUCUCUUUUACUGUGGCAUCCAAUUAAUGAUAAUUCUAAUACAGUUUACGACAAAAGAUAAACCAGUUUCUUACAACAUCAGUAACUGGUACAUUUUUCUUGAUGCCAGAAACCAUGACUUAAGCUUUUUUUUUUUUUUUUUUUUUUUUUCUUCCCCUUUUAGGACCUCACUUGUGGUAUAUGGAAGUUCCAGGCUAGGGAGUGAAUCGGAGCUCCAGCUGCCAGCCUAUGCCACAGCCGUGAGAAUGCUGGAUCCGAGCUGCAUCUGCGACCCUAGCCUCAGCUUUUGUCAAUGCUGGAUCCUUAACCCACUGAGUGAGGCCAGGGAUCAAACCCACAUCUCACAGAUACUAUGUUUUGUUCUUAACCCAUUAAGCCACAACAGGAAUGCCAUCAUUUUUUUCUUAUUUCUAAGAUGGGCCUAAAAGUGAGGGCGACACAUAACAAGGACACACUAUUUCUCGAAUGAAUGGAAAAUUUCAAACCACUCAGAGAACCUAGUUUAAAUUGCUUUUGACCACCAAAUAAACUGAGAAGUGAAUAUAAUUAUAUACGCUGCUGAUUGAAGUAUAUGAAAAUGAAAAAAAAUGUUGUGAAAUAAGUCUCUUUACCCUACACUUAGGGUGAAAACAUUUGAUGAUGCAGGCAACAGUUUUAUUAUAAAAGGAAUGCACAGUAGGUCGUAUGAAAAAUAAAACAAGAAAGAAACCUUUAGGUGGCGGCCAAGAGCUAUGAUUAUGAAUUCUUUUAUGAGAAUUUAUAAUCUUGUUUGAAAGUGGUCAUGUUAAGCGGGUUAUUAAACCACAAAAAUUCAGUACAAAGCAAAUUCAAGAAAAAAAAUUAGGCCUGGAAAGAAAUGGAUUUGAAUGAGUAUAUCAUCGAACAAUCAAUCAAAUCUUAAUUUUGAUUAAAUAUGGGUAUUUUGAUUAUGAAUAUUUUUUAAGAAACCAGAUCUGGGAAGAUAAUCAUAUUGGUAUUGAGUCAUGAAAUUAAUUAGUCUUGACAGUUAAAUAAUUGUUUUAAUCUUGAAAGAAAUCAUCUUCAAGCAAAAUGGUAGCGUUUUAAGAAAUCAGAGAAUGUAAUAAAGAUGUCAAACUGUCCAGAUGCUCAUUGUGCAAUUGGAAACUCCACUCAAAGUUGACACAGGUCUCCAAAAAAAAAGGAAAAAGGUCAAUGAGCUCAUUCAUUCUUGCAACAUCUGCCAGAAGCUAUGGCUUCUUGAAACACUAAUAUGUUUUCUCUCUUUUUUUGUUGCUCUCUCAAAUGAAGAGCCGACAGAAUUCAUCAUAUAUCUCUUUCAGUCCUAGAAAAAAGGGGGAAAGAUGAAAUACUUUUAAAUAAAGCAUUAUGAUUUUGUGAUGAUAUGCAGUAGUUUUUCCUCUCUGCUUUUUGUUUUCAUCAUUAGUCUACUUGAAGGAAAAAUUGUUUUAAGCAUCACUAUUGCAUACUGCUUUACAGUAAUUUUCAUUUAAAAGUUUUUCCAUUAAUGGUUAGUUCUGUUAGCAUUUAGAUUCAUUACACUUUUGACAAUGUUUUGGCAAGUAGACUAAAUAUAGAUAUGUGCUUCCAUUUAAUCCGGACUUCAGUGAUGAAAUAUCUCUAGUUCAAUUCUUGUCCACUUUAGUAACACACAUUUAGCGUCAAUUGUGUGCACACCCAGGACCAUGGAGGAGAGAAAACAAAUAAAAGACAAACUCAGUACAUAUGGAGUUGACAAGCUUUCUAGAUGAAAUAAGAGAAUAGAAACAAAAUACUAUAGCAAAAACAACACGUUAUCAUUAUCAUUAUUAUUAUUAUUAUUUGUCUUUUGUCUUUUUAGGCCUGCACCCUCAGCAUAUGGAGGUUCCCAGGCUAGGGGUCAAAUCAGCUACAGCUGCCAGCCUCUACCACAGCCCACACCAACGCGGCAUCUGAGCUGUGUCUGCGGCCUAUACCACAGCCCAUGACAACACUGGACCCUCAACCCACUGAGCAGGACCAGGGAUCAAACCUGCAUCCUCAUGGAUACUAGUCGGGUUCGUUAACCACUGAGCCACAACAGGAACUCCAACAAUACAUUAUUUUUGAGUAAUAAGAAGAGAAGGAAAAGUGUGAGUUGAUAUUAACUGAGAAAAGCUCUGCAAAGAAAAUAAAAGUAAACUGGUAGCUCCCCAGUAUAUUGUUGGGAAAGUAAAUGCUUUAAUUUAAAAAAAAACUAUUUCAAUUGCUUAAUGUUAAUAUUCCAUUAACAGUAGUGCAGAACAGUUUCUUUCCUAAAUAUUUUUCACUAUGUUUAGUCAGUGAAGCUGGUGACAACUCUUCUCAAACAUUUAGUAUGUUGCUGGAUUACAUGGCAAACUGCACAAAAAAAGAUUACCCAGAAAUUAUUUCAGUUUUCUAGUCUAGGAGUAAAUGCAUGAUGAAAACCCAAGUUGAACCUAUGGGAUUUAAGUGGUAGAAUUAUUUUCUCUGUCACCAGUAUCUUCAAACUGAUAUUCCUGAAGCUAGGAAUCAGAGAGUUGGCCCUCACCCUGACUCUGAUAGUGGAUAUGGUGAUAAAAUCAUGGUCAGGAUACAUCAUUUCUCUAGAAGAAUCUUCCUUCUGUGUAACAUGAAAGAGAACUAGAUGAUCUCUAAAUUUCCUCUUAACUCUAAAAUGUUACACUUCAGGAUUUUUAGAGAAUAAAAACAAAAUAUUAUUCAACAUUAUUGAAGUAGAAAAUGUGUAUGGCAUAGUUUCAGGGAGAAUUACAAAAUGAAUCCAACUGAAUACAGGGCCCCAUACAUAGGUCAAGAGUGACCCCCUAGAAUUGUGCAGUGUUCAGCUUACAUGACUGUAUAUGUUGGCUGUAAAAUUAUAUCAAUAGUAAGGAAAAGAAGAUUUAGAAAAUUCCUCUGUAUUAAAAUUUUUAUUAUAAUAGAAUUUUAAAAUAGAAUAAAUUUGAUUUAGUUUCUAAAUCAUGGUCCUUUUUUAGAACUGUUAAAUGUAAAAGCAGUAAACUGAAGAAAACAGAAAGGGUAGUCAUCUUAACUACGAUGAAUGAAAAUGAUUGUCCAAGGUUUGAAUGUUACGAAGCCAGUAGAUAAACUAGGGAAUGAAUAUUUUCUCAUGGAUUUAAAAGACUGAAAAUUCUAUCAGUGGAUGAAUGUGACUUUUAGGUACCUUAUAAAUAUAAUCUAUAUUAAAAUUUAAUUUCAAGUAAUCUGCCAUUAUGCUAAUGUAUUUAUAUGUGGGUGUGUGUCUGUGUGUGUAUAUAUAUACAACUUAUAUAGCUAAUGAUUUAUAUAGUCAUGAAUAAUUCAGAUAUUGGGAUAUAAAUCUCAUUAGUUCAAAGCAAUGCAUUUAAACCUGAAUGAUCAUUUAUUUUUGAAUGCAAUUCUCUUUUGAAUACUUUUGGAAAUUAGGUGAAAGUCUAUAAGAGAAAGAUGAACAUUCUUACUCUCAUAUUUAAAAAAAAUUCAAAGUAUAUGUCGCUUCAUAUGGAUCAGGAAAAAAUUAUUAAAAUUUUAAAAUUCUAUAUUAAAGAAAUUUUUAUGAUUCUAUCUGCAUAAGGAAUAAACAAUAUAAACUGAUGCCAAUGCUCCCAUCUCUAACACUACAAAAAUAAGUAGAAGUAAAACUUUUGUGUUUUAUUUUGUUGUAACUAUUGCUUCAAAAGUUACACCUUAAUCCAGGGCCAUGUCUUUAUUCUGCUGCUUAUCAGUUAACCAUAUUAAAACUGACAGUAGUAACGGCAUGAACCUAGCCAGAACACAGAAUGGAACUUGAACCCACGUGCGGAGACUCAAACCCAGUCUAAAGCCAGAUUGGGGCUUAAACCCACUGUUUUAAAUUAGAAUCACCUGGUGUCUGCACUCACUGAGGUUCAGGUUCUUCAUGCCUCAUGCAGAAGCAAUUCAGUGAGAGACAAAGAAAUGGGAAGACAUAGGUUUAUUAACAUAGGAUGUUUGUGAGAAAUGCAAGCAGGCAGGCAAGGAGGCUCUGCUCCGAGGAUUAGGUGGGCUACAGUUUUAUCAUCCAAGGAGAGUGGGGGUUGGAAAAGACCACCUAUUCCUCUUCUUUGAGCAUAGCUCCUCCUUAGUAUCCAGUAAGGUGUGUAGUCAAAUCAGCAGAAGGGAGGUCCUCAAACUCCUGCCCUUGGUCUGAAUCUGAAUGCAGGCCUCAUCCCAUUACCACACAAUGACCUGAGGCAGUCAAGCAAGCCUGCCUUGUGCUCAUGGCUUUCUUGAGCAAUUAUUAACUUACAGUGAUCUCCCAAUGUCUCCUGAGUUCCCCUCUUUAUCUGUGGUCCCUUAUUGGGACUUCUACAACUACCUGUACCUACUCCAUCCCUAUUGUAUAUAUUUCAGGUAUACAAUAUUAUAUACAAAAGUUAUUUUAUCUUGAGUGGCAGCAACUCAGAAUGCUAGACUUGAUUUCAGAGUCCUGUCAUUCAUUACUUGAUUAGAGUGAAAAUACCUGAUCCGUACAAAUAAAUACGAUAAAUCUCUCAUUCCAUCUGAUUCUAUUCACUGUGAACUACAGGGAGAACAAAGAGACCGGUUAACAAAAAGUCUACUAUUGAAGGUGCUAUUUCCUAAGGCUAAUUUUUCAUCCACUUUUGUCAUAUUACAGAUAAACUUUAAAUUGCUCCAAUCAUAAUCUUUUGCACAAAGUCAAUGGGACUGGGAUUCAAACAAUCAAGAAAAAGUAAUACAUGGAAGGAGAGAAAAAAACAAUUCAUAGAGAAACAUGCAUAAUAAAGAUAGAGCGUAAUGCACAAAUUUCUAGAAGUGAGAAAACAGAGAGACCAUAAAGGUAGCAAGAACAAAAGUAACCUAAAUGCAGGGAAGGAGACUGAAAAUAAGGAUAAUACAAAACUAAGAUUGAAAAGGGAAGAGAGUAAGGAAUGAGUGAAGGUAGGAAAAAAGUGACAAAAGUUUAGAGAAGAAACAGCAGAACAGAGUGGGAUAAAGGAGGUCAUGGCUUGAGAGCAAAAACGCAAAGAGUGGAGGACAGCAGACAAAGAAGUGAGAUUCAAAUGGAGAGGGUCCAAUUGACUAGAUUAUAAAAGUGGUGCUAAAAGUAGGCAGGCAGGAGUGAGGGAGGUCGCAGAACAAACAGCUUCCAGAGCCAAUGAUUUUGCUUUGUUUUUAGUAUUUUUAAUUUUAAUUUUUAAAAUUUUAUUGGAGUAUAGUUGAUUUACAAUGUUGUGUUGGUUUCAGGUAUACAGCAGAAUGAAUCAGUUUUAAGUAUACAUAUAUCCAUUCCUCUUCAGAUUCUUUUCCCAUAUAGGUUAUUUGAGAAUAUUGAGUAGAAUUCCCUGUGCUAUAAAGUACAUCCUUGUCUGUUAGCUGUUUUACAUAUAGUACUAUGUAUAUGUUAAUCUCAAAUUCCUAAUUUAUCCCUCCCACCUGCUUUGUUUUUUAUCAGUGGAAUUUAUGCCGCUUGAAUGGAGCUUGCAAAUGAGUGUGAAUUAUUUUACUGGUAUCAUUUAUCAUUCCAGAUCCUCCUAUAAUAAUACUAGGAAAUUAACAUAGUGGUGUGAGCCAUAACUAGGGCUAUCAAAAUCCCUUUAUAUAUGACCAAAACAACCAAAUUUCCAUCUAUUUGCAGUUUCCAGUCUCUAUUCAAAUGGCAUAAACUGAUAAUAAGUUGGCUAGGAAAAUUCUGGAUA